This 164-nucleotide ribosomal RNA is filed under the name uncultured bacterium. RNAcentral's name for it is "partial 16S ribosomal RNA". It matches the Rfam family "Bacterial small subunit ribosomal RNA", at positions 355 to 511 of the family's 1533-position model. The record is from RNAcentral.
UAGGGAAUCUUCCACAAUGGGCGAAAGCCUGAUGGAGCAACGCCGCGUGUGUGAUGAAGGGCUUCGGCUCGUAAAACACUGUUGUAAGAGAAGAAUGACAUUGAGAGUAACUGUUCAAUGUGUGACGGUAUCUUACCAGAAAGGAACGGCUAAAUACGUGUCAG